AUGGCUUUUGAUACGAACAAUCUCGUGCUGCACAUCAGGAGACUAGUGCGUUCCUCUAUCAGACUUGGGUAUCAUUCUGCUUGCGGCCAUCCUGAAGUGCUCGGCGCCGGCAUAGCGUUGUUGUUUCUUCAUGCCCUGUGUCCUUCUCUGUUCGCCUUUGUGCUGUCUUCCUCUCCGGUCAUCGUCUUAACCGCGAUUCUUCUCGGAGCACUUUUGAGUUAUGGUGAAGCUGCUGUGCCCUUGGAUGGAGAGGAGACACUGGAGGAGCAUGAACCUUUGUCCCUUAAAUCCAACAUUCAUUUUAGUGACUGUUCAGACAAAGAGGUUGAGAAUAUUGCUGUCGAGGUUCAGUUGGAGAAGAGAACUGAGACUGACAGCUGUGAAGUAGUACAUGUCAGGGAGAGAGCUUCCGACGAUUGUAUGCACGACGCUCUGUGCGAAGACAAAAAUGUCACAUACAUUGCCUCUGAUGCUGCUGUUCUUAGCGAAGCAUAUGCUGAGGAGGAGGCAACUCCCUAUGAUAGUUUGCAUGAUACUCACUGUGAAGAGAAAAGGGUCACAUUUGUGGCAGAUGAUACUGUUCCAAGUGCAGAGCCUUGUAACCAUCCUGAGAUCAAUGCCACCUUGGAAUGCGAAGAGCGUGCCAAGGAAACCAGCGAGAAGGCCGAGCUGCAAGAGCCUGAAAGCACCUGUACUGGAAGCUGUAACAAUGGUGUACACUAUCAGUAUCAGUUUGGUGAAUUCAUGAGAUCAUGUUGGCAACCUGUUAUGAGGCAGGAUCUUCCUUACUGUGACUCUGAAUCUGAUCUUACUGAUGAGAGCUCUUCUCCUGACGCGUCAAUGACCGACAUUAUCCCAAUGCUUGAGGACCUGCACCCACUGAUAAAUUCAGGGACUGGUCAGCUUUCCUUGGCCUCCAGAGAGAACUUGAAUUCCUCAUCAGAUGAAAAUGAAUUUGACCUUGAGGAGGAGGAGCAGGACGACAGCGUUAGCUCAGAUGAUGAUGAAGGAGCGGAACGGCAGCAAGAUAACGAAGUUAAUUGGAAGGAUGUUGUUCAGCUAAAUUGUUUGGAUAUGGAGCAAAAUGAUAAAUUGGGGAAUCUGGUGGAGCUUCAAAGAGCAAAGAACAUGCUCAAGUUUGAGCUUGACAUGAGAUCAAUUGACCUGCAAGCUGCUGAUGCAACUCGGAAGCUGAAGGAUGCAUCAAGAUUCCGUGUUCAGGUCCCUUCCAUUUGCACACCAAGGCAUAACCCAUUCAAUCCUUCAAGAGAUUCAGAGGAAUCGAUAGAGUUACCGCAGAUUCCUGGCUCAGCACCAUCAGUUCUCCUUCGACGGCGAAACCUAUUUGACCUUCCAUUCGACCGAGCCGUGCACCAGCGCAGUCGAUUUCAGGAAAGUUGGACUCCUCGCUCGCGCUUUCGAUCAGCACAAGCACAAAACAUGAAGCACAGGAACUCCCGUGGACAAAAUCACUCUACUUGCAAUGGUGAAAUGGGCGAUAAUCACUCGGACGACGAUGCUGAGCAGGAAGGGAGCAAUGUCAACUUAUUUGGUUCGCUGGAAGCACAUUUAGGUGAAGAGAUGAAAAUACUAAGCGCCGCAAUUUCAGACGUGGGCGUGCUGGGAGAUGUAAAUCAUGAAACAGACGAAGGAAACGGAGAUGCUAAUGUCAGAGAUGAUGCAGCCUCAUUACCCGGAGCACAUGAUUCUGAACCGCACAGUGUGGAAGCAGACUCCAUGAGUGAAAUGAACUCACUGUUCAGGUGCCGUAUGGAGGAGGUGCUGGUGCAGUCCGUUUCAGAGGGCAGUGUCUGUCAGCCCUUGGGAGUCAAGCCUGAAGCUAUACCGAGUGCCCCCUCAUCUUCGGACUCGUGGAUGCAUGCCAGCAAAGCGAGUUCGAUCGAGGAAUUGAAGUUUCAGCUCCUGACAGCCGAUGAAGAAGCACUGACGACCUGUGCUGCCUCUGGGCUCAAUGGCCACAGUGAGUCGAUUCGAGACCAAUCGAGCGAAGCAUUAUGUGUGGUAUACAAGCAGAGUUCAGAGCUGUCAACCGCAGGAGAGCAGCAGACUGCAGGUAUGUCUGAACCAAAUGAGACAUUGACUACUUAUUGUGACGAGCUUCCUGUCGUAGAAGUAGCCAAUGUCUCGGUCGAGGAGAUGAACUCGCUGUUCGAGCAACUCGAAGAAGAGACGCAGCCGAGCAAUGGUCGUAGCAAAAUGGACAUUCCUCAAGAUGGAUUGUGUCAAGUGGAGGUGGAUCUAGUGGAGCUUUCUCUAGAUCGCGGGUUGUCGGCGCCAUAA
RNAcentral lists this ribosomal RNA (2301 nucleotides) under Triticum aestivum (bread wheat). Its description in RNAcentral is "partial small subunit ribosomal RNA". Lineage: Eukaryota; Viridiplantae; Streptophyta; Magnoliopsida; Poales; Poaceae. The record is from RNAcentral.